UGGGGAAUCUUGCACAAUGGGGGAAACCCUGAUGCAGCGACGCCGCGUGAACGAUGAAGCCCUUCGGGGUGUAAAGUUCUUUCGACAGGAACGAUAAUGACGGUACCUGGAGAAGAAGCUGCGGCUAACUACGUGCCAGCAGCCGCGGUAAUACGUAGGCAGCGAGCGUUGUUCGGAGUUACUGGGCGUAAAGAGUGCGUAGGCGGCGAGCCAAGUUUGGUGUGAAAUCUCCCGGCUUAACCGGGAGGGUGCGCCGAAAACUGGUUGGCUGGAGUAUGGGGGAGGAAAGCGGAAUUCCUGGUGUAGCGGUGAAAUGCGUAGAUAUCAGGAGGAACACCUGCGGUGUAGACAGCUUUCUGGACCAAAACUGACGCUGAGGCACGAAAGCGUGGGUAGCAAACA
This 402-nucleotide ribosomal RNA is filed under the name uncultured bacterium. RNAcentral's name for it is "bacterial SSU rRNA". It matches the Rfam family "Bacterial small subunit ribosomal RNA", at positions 355 to 774 of the family's 1533-position model. The record is from RNAcentral.